Molecule: unclassified non-coding RNA, 250 nt
Filed under: Hevea brasiliensis (rubber tree)
Lineage: Eukaryota; Viridiplantae; Streptophyta; Magnoliopsida; Malpighiales; Euphorbiaceae
Source: RNAcentral
GCAUUGGUCAGUUUCGAUCCAGUUCCUUAAUCUAUCGGCUUCAAUUUCAGAUGUACGGCAAGUGUAUGAUUCUUCUCCGCUUCUUUUGACGUGCUUCUCGAGCACACAGCGCUUGCCGGUGGAUGAUAUUGCGUAAGAACAUGUCUCUUGGUCGAGAUGCUCACAUAUUAUUUCUCCUAGAGUGCCUCGCGCACAGAGAACAAGGGCAAGAGCCAGGACUGCCAGUGCCAGGGUCUUGAAGCAAGCCAUA